GCGACAGGCUUAACACAUGCAAGUCGAGGGGCAGCACAGGUAGCAAUACCGGGUGGCGACCGGCGCACGGGUGAGUAACGCGUAUGCAACUUGCCUAUCAGAGGGGGAUAACCCGGCGAAAGUCGGACUAAUACCGCAUGAAGCAGGGGCCCCGCAUGGGGAUAUUUGCUAAAGAUUCAUCGCUGAUAGAUAGGCAUGCGUUCCAUUAGGCAGUUGGCGGGGUAACGGCCCACCAAACCGACGAUGGAUAGGGGUUCUGAGAGGAAGGUCCCCCACAUUGGUACUGAGACACGGACCAAACUCCUACGGGAGGCAGCAGUGAGGAAUAUUGGUCAAUGGCCGAGAGGCUGAACCAGCCAAGUCGCGUGAGGGAUGAAGGUUCUAUGGAUCGUAAAUCUCUUUUAUAAGGGAAUAAAGUGCGGGACGUGUCCCGUUUUGUAUGUACCUUAUGAAUAAGGAUCGGCUAACUCCGUGCCAGCAGCCGCGGUAAUACGGAGGAUCCGAGCGUUAUCCGGAUUUAUUGGGUUUAAAGGGUGCGUAGGCGGCCUUUUAAGUCAGCGGUGAAAGUCUGUGGCUCAACCAUAGAAUUGCCGUUGAAACUGGGGGGCUUGAGUAUGUUUGAGGCAGGCGGAAUGCGUGGUGUAGCGGUGAAAUGCAUAGAUAUCACGCAGAACCCCGAUUGCGAAGGCAGCCUGCCAAGCCAUUACUGACGCUGAUGCACGAAAGCGUGGGGAUCAAACAGGAUUAGAUACCCUGGUAGUCCACGCAGUAAACGAUGAUCACUAGCUGUUUGCGAUACACUGUAAGCGGCACAGCGAAAGCGUUAAGUGAUCCACCUGGGGAGUACGCCGGCAACGGUGAAACUCAAAGGAAUUGACGGGGGCCCGCACAAGCGGAGGAACAUGUGGUUUAAUUCGACGAUACGCGAGGAACCUUACCCGGGUUUGAACGCAUUCGGACCGAGGUGGAAACACCUUUUCUAGCAAUAGCCGUUUGCGAGGUGCUGCAUGGUUGUCGUCAGCUCGUGCCGUGAGGUGUCGGCUUAAGUGCCAUAACGAGCGCAACCCUUGCCACUAGUUACUAACAGGUAAAGCUGAGGACUCUGGUGGGACUGCCAGCGUAAGCUGCGAGGAAGGCGGGGAUGACGUCAAAUCAGCACGGCCCUUACAUCCGGGGCGACACACGUGUUACAAUGGCGUGGACAAAGGGAAGCCACCUGGCGACAGGGAGCGAAUCCCCAAACCACGUCUCAGUUCGGAUCGGAGUCUGCAACCCGACUCCGUGAAGCUGGAUUCGCUAGUAAUCGCGCAUCAGCCAUGGCGCGGUGAAUACGUUCCCGGGCCUUGUACACACCGCCCGUCAAGCCAUGGGAGCCGGGGGUACCUGAAGUCCGUAACCGCGAGGAUCGGCCUAGGGUAAAACUGGUGACUGGGGCUAAGUC
This 1441-nucleotide ribosomal RNA is filed under the name uncultured organism. RNAcentral describes it as "16S ribosomal RNA". It matches the Rfam family "Bacterial small subunit ribosomal RNA". The record is from RNAcentral.